AUUCAAGAGCGACAUCCAACAAAACAAGGAUUGAAAC
Candidatus Methanoperedens is the source of this 37-nucleotide non-coding RNA. The record is from Rfam. NCBI's taxonomy places the organism in Archaea, Methanobacteriati, Methanobacteriota, Methanomicrobia, Methanosarcinales, Candidatus Methanoperedentaceae.